This 1140-nucleotide unclassified non-coding RNA is filed under the name Leishmania donovani. RNAcentral's name for it is "gene:unknown". The record is from RNAcentral. Lineage: Eukaryota; Euglenozoa; Kinetoplastea; Trypanosomatida; Trypanosomatidae.
CUCCUCACACAGCGCUCUGAUGAUCGAAGCAUUUCUCGCUUUAUUUUUGUUUCCGUACUUGCCCUCGUUCAAUCCCCAUGGCGGAGGAACACACCCCUCUGUGCGCGGUACCGCAGGGUCCAGUGCACCCCCCACUCUGAGUGGAGAAGCCAAGCAGCCUCUCCCUAUCCCCUGCCAAUGCCGAGCCACCUCUGGUGGUGACAGGGCCAAGUGCCUACGACGUGAGGGGGAGGCCAGAGUGGUUUGCCGCUACGGAUGUCGGCGGUCAGGUCCUGGUCGACGAGGCGGCAGAGAGACUUGCCACAGCGAAUACUCUUGUGAUAUCCGUGUGAUGGGCGAAGUGCCAGCGCGACUCGUACGUAUCCCAUCCCCGUGGGUCACACCCUCUGGUGUGGGGAGCUUGAGUGCCACCCGGAGGCGGAUGCCCCAGAUGGGGACCGGCACAAUGGGUGGCGCGGCUGUGAGGCGGACCUGCGGUGCGGGUGGAUGGGCAGGGUUCGAGGCAGGGGCCGCGCUCAGCCGACUGAGUCGGCGCAUGGCUGUAACGCGCGUGUGUCUAGCGCUGCUUUGCACCACGCGGAUGUGGCCUGCGGCAGUGCCAGUGGGUUGGCGUGCAGCUCAUCUCACACGGCCGAAAGGGUGGUCACGUUAGCGGAACAGGACCGUUAUUGCAUGCGCGCAUUUUUGUGUGUUUCGCUCCCGCUCACGUGGAUGACCAGAGUCCGACCUUUGUUUUUGUUAUUUCGUUGUUGUUUUAUGCUUUUUACUGCGUAUCAGUAUCUACCCCUUAUAUCAACUUGUGACAACGGCUACACACGUGGCAUGCCGUGGGCGUCCGCGCAUUCUUUUGCGCUUUUUCAGCUGAGGUGUGCUCUCGCUCGCUAUCUCUCUCCCGUUUUUUUUUUUACAUAUAUCAUGAUUCGUGGUUGUUUGCCGUAUUGUGGUUAGUGCGGCAUCACUAUCAUGCUGGAAAGGCGCACCUCUUCGCGUACUCGUGCUCUUAUCUGAACCUUCACUACCGCCUCUUCUACACCUCUUUUCCGAGAGUGCGAGAGCUGCGAAACUGCCCAGCGAAGACGCACCUCAAAGAGCUGCAACCAGACCUCAAGAAACGAAAUGAAAUACCGCCUGCAGGACUUG